Molecule: ribosomal RNA, 254 nt
Filed under: uncultured bacterium
Lineage: Bacteria
Description: partial 16S ribosomal RNA
Rfam family: Bacterial small subunit ribosomal RNA
Source: RNAcentral
UACGUAGGGUGCGAGCGUUGUCCGGAAUUAUUGGGCGUAAAGAGCUCGUAGGCGGUGUGUCGCGUCGGUCGUGAAAACUUGGGGCUUAACCCUGAGCUUGCGGUCGAUACGGGCAUCACUGGAGUUCGGCAGGGGAGACUGGAAUUCCUGGUGUAGCGGUGAAAUGCGCAGAUAUCAGGAGGAACACCGGUGGCGAAGGCGGGUCUCUGGGCCGAUACUGACGCUGAGGAGCGAAAGCGUGGGGAGCGUACAGG